RNAcentral lists this long non-coding RNA (560 nucleotides) under Pan troglodytes (chimpanzee). Its description in RNAcentral is "lincRNA". Lineage: Eukaryota; Metazoa; Chordata; Mammalia; Primates; Hominidae. The record is from RNAcentral.
AUAAAGGACUUGUCUAGGGGAGAGCCUAUGGAUCUGAGAACGCUGUCUGGGCUUGGUGCCAAGGGCUGGUAUUUCACAGCAGCGACCGCCUCACAGACGAGCUGUGGGAAGCAGGAGGGAGACUCUCUCUUAGGGUGCCACUACUAUGGAGACACAGCUGGGCUGAACAAGAUUUGCUUCAAACGACAACAAGAGAGACAGAAAGUAUCUGGUUCAACCGCUGCCCGAGCAGGCAGGCACCAGAAGAGCUAGCAGCCAAUCCGGCCAUGCUCGAAGCCAGCUCUGCAGCUCAGCCAAUCAGUGACAUCAUUGCUUUCUUUAGCUUGCCCAUGGUGAUGUGAAGAUGAGAAGAAAUAGCAAGGCCCAACCAGUUCUUCAUCUGGAGACAGUUCAACGUUCUGCAAACCAGAUCUUCAGGAAUUUUACUGGGAUAAUUAUCCAAAUAAAUUGCAAGCAUUCUAUCCAAAUGGAGCUCUUUCUGAGAUGAAGAGAAUUCUCAAUGUCAAGAUUUGAACAAGAAGAGAAUGGAAUACACAAUAUGGACAUCCAUAAAAAUUCAU